GUGUCAGCCGCCGCAGUAAUACGUAGGGGGCGAGCGUUGUCCGGAAUGACUGGGCGUAAAGGGUACGUAGGCGGCCAGGUAAGUCAGGUGUGAAAUUCUAGGGCUCAACCCUAGAUAGCACUUGAAACUGCUUGGCUUGAGUCGAGGAGAGGGAAGCGGAAUUCCUGGUGUAGCGGUGAAAUGCGUAGAUAUCAGGAGGAACACCAGUGGCGAAGGCGGCUUCCUGGCCUUGGACUGACGCUGAGGUACGAAAGCGUGGGGAGCAAACAGGAUUAGAUACCCUGGUAGUCCACGCCGUAAACGAUGAGUGCUAGGUGUCGGAGGGUUUAUCCUUCGGUGCCGAAGUUAACACAUUAAGCACUCCGCCUGGGGAGUACGGUCGCAAGACUGAAACUCAAAUAAAUUGACGG
This 410-nucleotide ribosomal RNA is filed under the name uncultured bacterium. RNAcentral describes it as "bacterial SSU rRNA". It matches the Rfam family "Bacterial small subunit ribosomal RNA", at positions 505 to 916 of the family's 1533-position model. The record is from RNAcentral.